This 460-nucleotide ribosomal RNA is filed under the name uncultured bacterium. RNAcentral's name for it is "partial 16S ribosomal RNA". It matches the Rfam family "Bacterial small subunit ribosomal RNA", at positions 338 to 795 of the family's 1533-position model. The record is from RNAcentral.
CCUACGGGAGGCAGCAGUGAGGAAUAUUGGUCAAUGGGCGCGAGUCUGAACCAGCCAAGUAGCGUGAAGGAUGACUGCCCUAUGGGUUGUAAACUUCUUUUAUAAAGGAAUAAAGCGAGGCACGUGUGCCUUUUUGCAUGUACUUUAUGAAUAAGGAUUGGCUAACUCCGUGCCAGCAGCCGCGGUAAUACGGAGGAUCCGAGCGUUAUCCGGAUUUCUUGGGUUUAAAGGGAGCGUAGAUGGGUUGUUAAGUCAGUUGUGAAAGUUUGCGGCUCAACCGUAAAAUUGCAAUUGAUACUGGCAGCCUUGAGUACAGUUGAGGUAGGCGGAAUUCGUGGUGUAGCGGUGAAAUGCUUAGAUAUCACGAAGAACUCCGAGUGCGAAGGCAGCUUACUAAACUGCGACUGACAUUGAUGCUCGAAAGUGUGGGUAUCAAACAGGAUUAGAUACCCCAGUAGUC